Long non-coding RNA from Chelonia mydas (Green sea turtle), 549 nucleotides. RefSeq lists it as uncharacterized. The record is from RefSeq and is a predicted model, not a curated record. Lineage: Eukaryota; Metazoa; Chordata; Testudines; Cheloniidae. The transcript is spliced from 2 exons.
CAACCGCCCUAACCCACCCAAGCACUCCUUGGAUGGAAUUCAAUAGCUGGAGCCAGACUGCUCAUUCCAUUACCUCCUGCCCUGAGAAGGAGCCACGCACGGAUCCCUCUCUGAGAAACCUGGGAGCUGCUGAGAUGCCCUAAUUCCCGAAUCAAAACGUGGAGCAGGAUUCUUGCCAGCUUCUGGGAACUGUCUGCGCAAACACUCAGAGCAGCUGCAUCCCCACCCCCACCAGGGAGAAUUUAUGCAGAAGAGUUUAUAACAGCAGGUCUGCAGCUCCCACUCAGCACUCAAAAGAUGCACCAUGGCCCAUGUGCCAAGCUACAGAGAUCACCAAACUCUCAGCAGGACCUGUGGGACCCGUGAAACGAAACAGUUCUUGAUUUCUACUCACUGAAUUCCCCCCUUUCAGGGGCAUCACAAUUCACUGCUCAGAGAGUGAGCACUAGUAGCCCUGCUUGGAACUAACAGCAUGCUUCAGGCCAAACCUACAGCCCCUCCCUGCUAAUCCAGGCCUGGACACUGCCAGUGCAUCUCAGUCCUGACUAG